AGCGAACGCUGGCGGCGUGCUUAACACAUGCAAGUCGAGUGACGGCGCACGGGUGAGUAACACGUGGGAAUCUGCCCUCUAUGGGGAAUAACCCGCCGAAAGGCGGGCUAAUACCGCAUAGGAGGAGCCCGCGCCCGAUUAGCUUGUUGGCGGGGUAACGGCCCACCAAGGCUUUGAUCGGUAGCCGGUCUGAGAGGACGACCGGCCACACUGGAACUGAGACACGGUCCAGACUCCUACGGGAGGCAGCAGUGGGGAAUAUUGCGCAAUGGGCGAAAGCCUGACGCAGCGACGCCGCGUGGGGGAUGAAGCUUCUCGGAGUGUAAACCCCUUUCGGCCCGGAUGACGGUACGGGUAUAAGAAGCCCCGGCUAACUACGUGCCAGCAGCCGCGGUAAGACGUAGGGGGCCAGCGUUGCUCGGAAUAACUGGGCGUAAAGGGUUCGUAGGCGGUGUGGCAAGUCGGGAGUGAAAUCCUGAGGCUUAACUUCAGGACUGCUUCCGAAACUGCCAUGCUCGAGUGCGGGAGAGGCGAGUGGAACUGCAGGUGUAGCGGUGAAAUGCGUAGAUAUCUGCAGGAACACCAGUGGCGAAAGCGGCUCGCUGGACCGCAACUGACGCUGAGGAACGAAAGCUAGGGGAGCAAACAGGAUUAGAUACCCUGGUAGUCCUAGCCCUAAACGGUCAGAACUUGGGGUGGGUCCCGGAGCUAACGCGUUAAGUUCUG
This 726-nucleotide ribosomal RNA is filed under the name uncultured Pseudomonadota bacterium. RNAcentral's name for it is "bacterial SSU rRNA". It matches the Rfam family "Bacterial small subunit ribosomal RNA", at positions 28 to 869 of the family's 1533-position model. Lineage: Bacteria; Pseudomonadati; Pseudomonadota. The record is from RNAcentral.